GGGUUGUGAGGUUAAGCGACUAAGCGUACACGGUGGAUGCCCUGGCAGUCAGAGGCGAUGAAGGACGUGCUAAUCUGCGAUAAGCGUCGGUAAGGUGAUAUGAACCGUUAUAACCGGCGAUUUCCGAAUGGGGAAACCCAGUGUGUUUCGACACACUAUCAUUAACUGAAUCCAUAGGUUAAUGAGGCGAACCGGGGGAACUGAAACAUCUAAGUACCCCGAGGAAAAGAAAUCAACCGAGAUUCCCCCAGUAGCGGCGAGCGAACGGGGAGCAGCCCAGAGCCUGAAUCAGUGUGUGUGUUAGUGGAAGCGUCUGGAAAGGCGCGCGAUACAGGGUGACAGCCCCGUACACAAAAAUGCACAUACUGUGAGCUCGAUGAGUAGGGCGGGACACGUGGUAUCCUGUCUGAAUAUGGGGGGACCAUCCUCCAAGGCUAAAUACUCCUGACUGACCGAUAGUGAACCAGUACCGUGAGGGAAAGGCGAAAAGAACCCCGGCGAGGGGAGUGAAAAAGAACCUGAAACCGUGUACGUACAAGCAGUGGGAGCACGCUUCGGCGUGUGACUGCGUACCUUUUGUAUAAUGGGUCAGCGACUUAUAUUCUGUAGCAAGGUUAACCGAAUAGGGGAGCCGAAGGGAAACCGAGUCUUAACUGGGCGUUAAGUUGCAGGGUAUAGACCCGAAACCCGGUGAUCUAGCCAUGGGCAGGUUGAAGGUUGGGUAACACUAACUGGAGGACCGAACCGACUAAUGUUGAAAAAUUAGCGGAUGACUUGUGGCUGGGGGUGAAAGGCCAAUCAAACCGGGAGAUAGCUGGUUCUCCCCGAAAGCUAUUUAGGUAGCGCCUCGUGAAUUCAUCUCCGGGGGUAGAGCACUGUUUCGGCAAGGGGGUCAUCCCGACUUACCAACCCGAUGCAAACUGCGAAUACCGGAGAAUGUUAUCACGGGAGACACACGGCGGGUGCUAACGUCCGUCGUGAAGAGGGAAACAACCCAGACCGCCAGCUAAGGUCCCAAAGUCAUGGUUAAGUGGGAAACGAUGUGGGAAGGCCCAGACAGCCAGGAUGUUGGCUUAGAAGCAGCCAUCAUUUAAAGAAAGCGUAAUAGCUCACUGGUCGAGUCGGCCUGCGCGGAAGAUGUAACGGGGCUAAACCAUGCACCGAAGCUGCGGCAGCGACACUAUGUGUUGUUGGGUAGGGGAGCGUUCUGUAAGCCUGUGAAGGUGUGCUGUGAGGCAUGCUGGAGGUAUCAGAAGUGCGAAUGCUGACAUAAGUAACGAUAAAGCGGGUGAAAAGCCCGCUCGCCGGAAGACCAAGGGUUCCUGUCCAACGUUAAUCGGGGCAGGGUGAGUCG
Molecule: ribosomal RNA, 1354 nt
Filed under: Escherichia coli
Lineage: Bacteria; Pseudomonadati; Pseudomonadota; Gammaproteobacteria; Enterobacterales; Enterobacteriaceae
Description: bacterial LSU rRNA
Rfam family: Bacterial large subunit ribosomal RNA
Source: RNAcentral